UACAGAGGUCUCAAGCGUUGUUCGGAAUUACUGGGCGUAAAGGGCGCGUAGGCGGUCCCAUAAGUCCCGCGUGAAAUCCCCCGGCUCAACUGGGGAGGGUCAUUCGAUACUGUUCGACUCGAAGGCAGGAGAGGGAAGUGGAAUUCCGGGUGUAGUGGUGAAAUGCGUAGAUAUCCGGAGGAACACCAGUGGCGAAGGCGACUUUCUGGCCUGUUCUUGACGCUGAGGCGCGAAAGCUAGGGGAGCAAACGGG
Molecule: ribosomal RNA, 253 nt
Filed under: uncultured bacterium
Lineage: Bacteria
Description: partial 16S ribosomal RNA
Rfam family: Bacterial small subunit ribosomal RNA
Source: RNAcentral